RNAcentral lists this microRNA precursor (168 nucleotides) under Pelobates cultripes (western spadefoot toad). The record is from RNAcentral. Lineage: Eukaryota; Metazoa; Chordata; Amphibia; Anura; Pelobatidae.
GCAGACACAUUCCAGCCAAUCAGCAGCAGACCCUCCCUCCCAGGCCCUCCCACCUCCUGGACAGCAUCCAUUUUACAUUCAUUGUGAAGCUGCAUUCUUAGUGAGCUGUCUAGGAGGUGGGAGAGUCUGGGAGGGAGGGUCUGCUGCUGAUUGGCUGGAAUGUGUCUG